This 508-nucleotide ribosomal RNA is filed under the name uncultured bacterium. Its description in RNAcentral is "bacterial SSU rRNA". It matches the Rfam family "Bacterial small subunit ribosomal RNA", at positions 8 to 526 of the family's 1533-position model. The record is from RNAcentral.
AGAGUUUGAUCAUGGCUCAGGAUGAACGCUGGCGGCGUGCCUAAUACACGCAAGUCGAACGAGGUGCUUUUGUAGCAAUACGAGAGUAUCCUAGUGGCGAACGGGUGAGUAACGCGUUGGUGACCUACCCCAAAGUGUGGGAUAACAGUCCGAAAGGAUUGCUAAUACCGCAUGUGGUCAUUGGAUUUAGAAACCGAUGUCUAAAGGAGCAAUUCGCUUUGGGAGGGACCUGCGUCCCAUCAGCUAGUUGGUGAGGUAACGGCUCACCAAGGCGACGACGGGUAGGGGACCUGAGAGGGUGACCCCCCACAAUGGAACUGAAACACGGUCCAUACACCUACGGGUGGCAGCAGUAGGGAAUAUUGCUCAAUGGGCGAAAGCCUGAAGCAGCAACGCCGCGUGUGUGAUGAAGGCCUUCGGGUCGUAAAGCACUUUUCUGGGAGAUGAGAAAGGACAGUAUCCCAGGAAUAAGUCUCGGCUAACUACGUGCCAGCAGCCGCGGUAAUUC